CCUAGAACGAUACAAAGAAUAUUAGCAUGGCCCCUGCGCAAGGACGACACGCACAAAUCGAGAAAUGGUCCAAAUUUUA
This 79-nucleotide small nuclear RNA is filed under the name Triticum dicoccoides. The record is from RNAcentral. Lineage: Eukaryota; Viridiplantae; Streptophyta; Magnoliopsida; Poales; Poaceae.